RNAcentral lists this small RNA (4337 nucleotides) under Pongo abelii (Sumatran orangutan). RNAcentral's name for it is "processed transcript". The record is from RNAcentral. Lineage: Eukaryota; Metazoa; Chordata; Mammalia; Primates; Hominidae.
GUUUAUUGUAGUCUUCAUAGUCUGGGCUUCUUUGUACCUGUCCUUCUUGGGAAGGCUUUCCAAGUAUUUGAGGGGAAUUGGGUGUUGUGAUCUAAGUCUUUGGUCACUGCAGCUGUAUCUGCAUUAGGGGGCACCCUAAGCCCAGUAAUGUGGCUCCUGCAGACUUGUAGAGGUUACUGCCUUGGUGGUCUUGGGUCAGAUCUGGGAGAAUUCUCUGGAUUACUGGGGAGAGACUCUUGUUCUCUUCCCUGACUUUCUCCCAAACAAGUGGAGUCUCUUUCUCUCUGUGCUGAGCUGCUUGGAGCCAGGAGGAGUGACACAGCACCCCUGUGGCCAUUAAUACUGGGACUGGCCUGGGUCAGGCCUGAAGCCAGCACAGCACUGGGUCUUGCCCAAGGUCCACAUGGUGACCACUUGCCUGUCUACCACCUAUGUUUACUCAAAGCCCAAGGGCACUACAAUCAGCAGGUGGCAAAUCCAGCCAGGCUUAUGUCCUUCCUUUUAGGGCAGCAAGUUACCCCUGGCUCUGGGCAGAUCCGGAGAUGCUGUCAGGGCCUGGCGUUGAGAACCUUAGGAAUCUUCCUGUCAUUCUGUUCUACAGCAGCUGAGCUCACACCCAAACCACAAGACAAACUCCUUCUCAUUCUUCUCUCCCGUUUCCUCAAGCAGAGGAAUCUCUCCCCAUGGCCACCGCUGCCCCAGGCCUGCAGCAAGUACUGCAAGGCUGUCGCCGAUAUUCACUCAAGGUCCAAGGGCUCUUUGGUCAGCUUGUGGUCAAUGCUGAUAGGCCUGGGUAUCUCCCUUCAGGGCAAUGGGCUCCCCUCUGGCCCAGAGUGGGUCCAGAAAUACCAUCCAGGAGCCAAGGCCUAGAAUCAGGGACCUCAAGAGCACACUUGGUGUUCUACCCCACUGUGGUUGAGCUUGUACCCUUCCUGUAAGACAGAGUCCCCUUUACUCCCGAGAUCAGACGAGAUUGGGCGCGUUCAGGGUGGUAUGGCCGUAGACCCCUUUACUCUUCCCUCUCUUUUCCUCAAGCAGAAAGAGUCUCUCCCUGUAGCCACCGCAGCUGGGAAUAUACUGGGUCACUCCUGAGGCCAGCAUGGCUCUGAGUCUCACCCAAUGCCCACAGUGAGUACUGCCUGGCUACCACUGUUGAUUAUACAGAGCCCAAGGGCUCUUUGGUCAGCAGGUGAUGACUCCUGCAGGGACUGGAUCCUUCCCUUCAAAUGUGCUGGUUGCAUUUUGGUCCAAGGUGUGUCUAGAAAUGUCAUCCAUAAGCUAGGUCCUGGAAUGGGGGCCUCAGGACUCUGGUCCCUUGUUCUACUCUGGCUGAGCUGGGAUCCAAGUUGCAAGACAAGGUCCUUGUUAUUCUUCUCUCUCUUCCUGGGCUGUGAACAACACUGCCUGGCUUUGCAGUAAGGGUGUCAAAAACGCACUCCCUGGCCACCCAGCUGGUGUCUCAGUAGGUCAUGUGCACCCUAAGUCUACUGGGCUAGUGGAGUGGCAGUAACAGACGAUAUAAGGUAGGAGUUGCAUUGUGUCUGAGAAGAUGUGGAGAGGACUGUGAACCUACUUUUGUGCAACACUGAAAAGUAUAUGCUUCCUUUCAGUUAAUUGACAUGAGUCUUUGAAGAAUAGACUCACAUUCUGAGUCUGUGAGUGAAUAUUUUGUCAUUCUACACCCUUACUUAGCAAGCUAAAGUCCUGAAAAAUAUGAUUCCUGAAUUUUCUUGAUUUCCAGAAUAAUAUAGCAUAUUCCUUAAAAGAAAGUGGUUUCAUGAAAGGUGUUACUUUCAAAAAACUAAUCAUCUUUUCCUUUUUUAAAAAAUAGGAUUAAAAGAGUAAAAUUAAUAUCUAACAAAGGGACUGAAACUGACAAUGACCCAAGUUGUGUCCAUCCUAUCAUUAAGAAGAGACAAUGUCGACCAGAGAUUAGAAUGUGGCAAACAAGAGAGAAAGCAAAAUCUUCAGAUGGAGAAAAGUGUCGUAGGGAGGCUUUUAGGCGUUUGGGUAAUGGGGUGUCUGAUGACCUGUCAAGUGAAGAAGAUGGUGAAGCACGGACACAGAUGAUAUUAUUGCGUAGGAGUGUGGAAGGGGCCUCAAGUGACAAUGGUUGUGAAGUUAAGAAUAGAAAAUCAAUACUUUCAAGGCACCUAAACUCUCAGGUAAAGAAGACCACUACAAGGUGGUGUCAUAUUGUGCGGGAUUCAGAUAGUCUGGCUGAAUCAGAAUUUGAAUCAGCAGGCUUCAGCCAGGGCUCUAGAUUGGGUGUGAGUGGUGGCUCUCGAAGCCUCAACAUGUCAAGAAGAGACUCAGAAAGCACCCGCCAUGACUCGGAGACGGAGGAUAUGUUAUGGGACGACCUGCUACAUGGCCCAGAGUGCCGGUCAUCUGUCACCAGUGACAGUGAGGGGGCCCAUGUGAAUACCCUUCACUCAGGGACCAAACGUGACCCCAAAGAGGAUGUUUUUCAGCAGAAUCAUUUAUUCUGGCUUCAGAAUUCAAGUCCUUCCUCUGAUCGAGUUAGUGCAAUAAUCUGGGAGGGGAAUGAGUGCAAAAAGAUGGAUAUGUCUGUGUUGGAAAUAAGUGGCAUCAUCAUGAGUAGGGUCAAUGCCUAUCAGCAAGGAGUAGGUUAUCAGAUGCUGGGAAAUGUUGUCACUGUUGGAUUAGCAUUUUUUCCAUUCUUACAUCGACUUUUCCGUGAGAAGAGCCUUGACCAACUAAAGUCCAUUUCAGCUGAGGAGAUCUUGACUCUCUUUUGUGGGGCACCACCUGUUACACCUAUUAUUGUUUUGUCCAUAAUUAAUUUUUUUGAAAGAUUGUGUCUUACUUGGAUGUUUUUUUUCAUGAUGUGUGUGGCAGAGAGAACAUAUAAACAGAGAUUUUUAUUUGCAAAGCUCUUCAGCCAUAUUACUUCUGCCAGGAAAGCUAGGAAAUAUGAAAUACCUCAUUUCAGACUUAAGAAGGUGGAGAAUAUUAAAAUAUGGUUAUCACUGCGUUCCUAUCUAAAGAGACGGGGGCCACAGCGUUCAGUUGAUGUGGUUGUAUCCUCGGUCUUCCUACUGACACUUUCGAUUGCUUUCAUUUGUUGUGCUCAGGUUCUCCAAGGACAUAAAACUUUCCUGAAUGAUGCUUAUAACUGGGAGUUUUUGAUCUGGGAAACAGCUUUACUACUUUUCUUAUUGCGUCUGGCCUCAUUGGGGUCUGAAACCAAUAAGAAAUACAGCAAUGUUUCGAUAUUACUUACAGAACAGAUUAAUUUAUAUCUUAAGAUGGAAAAAAAGCCAAAUAAGAAAGAACAGCUUACUCUAGUAAACAAUGUAUUAAAGCUGUCCACCAAGUUGUUGAAAGAGCUGGACACACCAUUUAGACUCUAUGGACUGACAAUGAAUCCCUUAAUCUACAAUAUCACAAGAGUAGUUAUCCUUUCUGCUGUCUCAGGUGUUAUAAGUGAUCUUCUAGGAUUUAAUAUAAGACUGUGGAAAAUUAAAUCAUAAGCUGAGUUAAAUGCCUGGACUCUCCCCUGGCUGGUAUCAAAAGUUACCUAUCAAGGAAAGAGAUGACUGCAGAAACCAGUGAGAUACCCAUCUGCUUGUUCACAUGCACAGGUGCUCUCAGCUCUGCCAAAGCGAAUUAAUGGUGUUUCCGGAGGAACAAGUCCUUUUCCAACUGGGUGUGCAUGCUAAAAACCUGUAUUUUCAUGCUUUUCAAACAACAUGGAUAGUCAGCCAACUAAAGACUGUGUGUGUUGUGGUAACACAAGGACAAUUUUGUAAGUUUGCGCUUCAGUACUGUGACAGUUAUGUUUACUGGACAUAGUCUUUUGGGAAACUAUGGUAGAUGCCCAAAGCAUGAAGCAAAUAUCUUUUAUUGGAAAUAUGCAAAUUCAAUACUUUUCCAUUAUAGUCUAUAGAACUGGAGAUUUCAUUUCUCUAUCAAAGAGAGAUCUAGCAAACUAUUUUAGGUUAAAUCCGAAUAAAAGAACUUUACUGGAGACUUUCAGUUUCUAGGUUUUCUUUGUUGUUGAAGGAAGAAAAUUAACUUUUAAACUGUGAGUUUCUGUUAAACUGUGGAGAAAUGUUUUGUUCGUUUACAAUUUUGAGUUAAUAACUGUAUAGUUGUUGGCGAACAAUGCAUGCGUACAAUAUGCCAUGUAAUUCAGCAUGAAAAAUUUAAGUAUAUGCCUACUCAUCCAUUUCCAUCAUACAACAUGGUUUCCAGAUAGAUCAUCUGAGUUGUGGUUCCUAACACAGUGCUGUGUGUCCUAUCACAAGCAUCAUUGAUAGUUUAUCUGUUGUGCAACUUAAUGUAUUAAACCCUCCGUACAUUUUCAGGUC